Molecule: ribosomal RNA, 430 nt
Filed under: uncultured bacterium
Lineage: Bacteria
Description: bacterial SSU rRNA
Rfam family: Bacterial small subunit ribosomal RNA
Source: RNAcentral
UGAGGAAUUAUGCGCAAUGGGGGCAACCCUGACGCUGCGACGCCGCGUGGGUGAUGAAGGUCUUCGGAUCGUAAAACCCUGUCGAGAGGGGCGAAAGAGCGAGGUGUUAACACCGCUUCGCUUUGACGGUACCUCUGGAGGAAGCCCCGGCUAACUCCGUGCCAGCAGCCGCGGUAAUACGGAGGGGGCAAGCGUUGUUCGGAAUUACUGGGCGUAAAGCGCGCGUAGGCGGUUGGGUAAGUCAGAUGUGAAAGCCCCCAGCUCAACUGGGGAACUGCGUCUGAUACUGCUCGGCUUGAGUCCGAUAGGGGAUGGCAGAAUUCCCGGUGUAGCGGUGGAAUGCGUAGAUAUCGGGAGGAAUACCGAUGGCGAAGGCGGCCAUCUGGGUCGGUACUGACGCUGAGGCGCGAAAGCUAGGGGAGCAAACAGG